Long non-coding RNA from Trifolium pratense (red clover), 523 nucleotides. RefSeq lists it as uncharacterized. The transcript is spliced from 3 exons. The record is from RefSeq and is a predicted model, not a curated record. NCBI's taxonomy places the organism in Eukaryota, Viridiplantae, Streptophyta, Magnoliopsida, Fabales, Fabaceae.
CCUCUGCUCGGACUGCGCUGCUCCAUCCUGAAAAUUUCUUCCGCAAAUCGCAUUUUGCUUGAAAUACAUAGCAGGGGAUCAGAGAAUAUUUCAAACGGGGUUCAUAACUAAGAUGGCCAAGGAGCUAUUUCAAGGGAGAGCAUACAUGCAUUGGAGAAGCUUAGUCAUCUAAACUAGGUUAUCGGAAGACCUAAGGUUGAGUUAAUGUUUGAGGCUCAAAAGCUACCAACAGAAGAAGAAAUAAUAGAAGAGUUCACAUAUCCCUUGCUUAACUACAAGUAAUAGGUAACUUAUUGCAAGAGUGAUUGUUUAUACUUCAAGUUACCAUGACAUUGUUCCUCUUUGUAUAUGUUCCUUAGUCGACUCUAAAUAGUUUUAAAUAAAUUUUCUUUUGGAAUUUGUAUGCUGCAGUCAAAUUGGCUUCUAGUGGGUUUGUUUCUAAUUUUGUAUGCUUGUAGUAUAUGUCUAAGGUUUGUCGAAGUAAUAAUUGUUUCUAAGUGAGUAAGAUUUAUACAAGAUUUUA